This 253-nucleotide ribosomal RNA is filed under the name uncultured bacterium. RNAcentral describes it as "partial 16S ribosomal RNA". It matches the Rfam family "Bacterial small subunit ribosomal RNA", at positions 524 to 776 of the family's 1533-position model. The record is from RNAcentral.
UACGAAGGGGGCUAGCGUUGCUCGGAAUCACUGGGCGUAAAGGGCGCGUAGGCGGCUGUACAAGUCAAAGGUGAAAUCCCUCGGCUCAACUGAGGAACUGCCUUUGAAACUGUACGGCUUGAGGCCGGGAGGGGGUAGCGGAAUUCCCAGUGUAGCGGUGAAAUGCGUAGAUACUGGGAGGAAUACCAGUGGCGAAGGCGGCUACCUGGACCGGUUCUGACGCUUAGGCGCGAAAGCGUGGGUAGCAAACAGG